RNAcentral lists this unclassified non-coding RNA (391 nucleotides) under soil metagenome. Its description in RNAcentral is "partial contains 5.8S ribosomal RNA, internal transcribed spacer 2, and large subunit ribosomal RNA". The stretch from base 1 to 122 matches the Rfam family "5.8S ribosomal RNA", at positions 35 to 154 of the family's 154-position model. The record is from RNAcentral.
GAUGAAGAACGCAGCGAAAUGCGAUACUUGGUGUGAAUUGCAGAAUCCCGUGAACCAUCGAGUCUUUGAAUGCAAGUUGCGCCCGAAGCCAUUAGGCCGAGGGCACGCCUGCCUGGGCGUCACACGUCGUUGCCCCCCCAUCUACUCCUUCGGGAUUGCGGGGGGCGGAUGAUGGCCUCCCGUGCGCCUCGUCGCGCGGUUGGCAUAAAUGCCAAGUCCUCGGCGACGCACGCCACGACAAUCGGUGGUUGCGAAACCUCGGUUGCCCGUCGUGUGCGGUCGUCGCGCAUCGAGGGCUCGAAAAAAUUGCCGAGUUCCGGCUCGGCUUUCAACGCGACCCCAGGUCAGGCGGGGUUACCCGCUGAAUUUAAGCAUAUCAAUAAGCGGAGGA